UCCUGCACAUCUCAAACUCUAAUUGCCCUAUCCCUCACACCCACUCUCUCUCAGGCGUUGUCACCUCGCUGCCAAUGUUUCCCUCUCGACGGACGGACAAAUGAGAAGGACGAACCAUCCUCACAAUCUUCACCCCUCUGCUCGGCUACUCCGUCUCCCGUCCUCCGCCUCACCGUUCAGUCGAAAAUCGCGGCGUCGUCUGCUUGUGCUCGACUAUUUCUCAGUCACCGUUCUCCCAGCCGCGCCGCACCACCACCACCGAUCGCACGUCGCGGCUAUUACAGCCGCCUUCAACCGCGCUCUCCCUUGGACCUGCUCUAACCCUAGCCGCCCUCUCCCUAGGACCGGCUCUCUCUCUAAGCUGUUGUCACCGCGCCUUUUGUCUUUCAAAUCUAAUUGCAUUUCCUUGAUUGUUCAAUUUGACAAAAAUCAAAGCUACUUAAUUGUAUUACUUCUCGUUUUUUACUAUCAUGAUUAAAUUUCCUUACUUCGCUCGUCCUUUGUGAUUGCAGGUUUUCUAGGACAUGCAUUAUUUGGGUAAAGAUUGGGGGAUAUAUUUUUGUGAUGAUGAUAAUGGGGAUUCUGCAGAUCGGAAAGUGCUCUUAGAGGUAAAUAAUUAUAGAAAUUAUUAACAUAUAAGGUUAUUUUGAAACAUGUUGAUUAUGCAAUUUAGGCAGAAUAACUUUCUUGUGACUCAUUUCAUGAUUGGAGUUUGUAAGCUAACUUCGAUGGCUAUUAUACUGAGGUAUAUUUUGAUGAUUGUCAGGUUGGUUUUGGUUUUGGAGCUGGUAAUACUUCUUUUUCUCUGAUUAAUUGUUGUCUAUCCCAUGUUCUUUUGCUGGCUUUUUCUGUAACUGUAAGAUCUGUAUUAUAUUGAGAAUAGAUGAAAUGAUAAAUUUUGAAAUCCAUAGGAAUAUUAUAGAAAUAACUAAUUGAGCUGUAUGUGAAGCAAAUGAUGCUUUGUUUUAUUUUUCCUUUACUCUAUUUUUGAAUCAUAAGUUAUGCAAUGUUUUGAUCACUUCGAAUAUUUCCCUUCAAUGAGAAUGGAUAUAUUUAUCCCUUAGGAUCUACUGUUAAGAUCCUUGAGUAUGUCAAUCAAGUUCAUAUAUGUUGUAUAUUGAUCUUUGCACAGAGUGUCUGUUUUUGUUGCUGGUUUUAUUCAGCUAGUGUCGUCAAAAUAAUUGGGAACCAAUACCUUAUAGUAUCAUAUAUCUGUACUUGUUUGCCUUUUCAUUUUUAUUAGUUGGCUAAGGUUUUUUGUCAUGAGGAGUGAAUUGGUUUCUUUUAUUAAAGUUAGACCAGACCUGAAUAAGGCACCAUUAGUUUGCUUUUCAAUCUCAAAUACUAAUGCGAUGUUUCAUGUUAGAUAGUUGCAUUCUUAUAUUUAUUAGACUUUGCACAUUAUUUACUUCAUUUUCCUAAAACCUUAACAGGUUCUCAUCCAAGGUUUAAGUGUGCCUUGCAAGAGAAUUUUCUUUUUUGGGUAACUUAUAUCGAUCCAUUUAUACUCACUCUUGUUUCUUCUAGCUUGAGAAUUGAUUCUUUCAAUAACUGAAAUCAAUUGAUUCAAACUAACAAUUGGAUCAAUUAUAAUUUUUAAGUUAUUUUAACUUUGUUAUUUGUACCUUAAAAUAUGUUAAAUUGUGUAUGUUGACUAAUAUCUUGUUUCUCUUAUCUUGGCAGGAGUUAUUGAAAAAGUUGUCACGAUGGUUAACCAAUGUUCAACUCUUCCAAUGUACAAUGGAGUGACUUUUUGAUCAAGAGCUUGAAGAAAAAUUAUGAGUCCUAGAUUAAUUGCGAGUUGUAGAUUAAGUGCUUAGUAAUUUAGACAUUUAAAAUUAUAUGUAGUUAGUAAUUUCAGACUUGUACUUUGAUUUUGUUAAAUAUUUUUUUAUGUAAAUGUUCUGUAUGAUAUUCUUGUUAUAUUUAAUGUGUUGAGUAUUUGAUUUUUGAUUUUUUUAUUAUAAUUAUAAUUAUGAUUAUAAUUGACUAAUAAAAGGUUAUAAUAUUUGAAAAUAGUAAUAUUUUUUCUAAAAUUCAAUUACUAAAAAAAUAUUUUUCUCCACACAUAUAAAUAUACCUUUAGUGACAUAUAUAUGUAGGCAAAUAUUUGAUGAUUUACCCACACAUAAAAUUUGCCACGUGUAAAUGCCAUGUCAUUUCCACAUCAUCGCUGCAGUAUAUCAUAAAUAUCUUUUCCCACACAUAAAAUGUAUUAUUCGUGACAUAUAUAUGUGUAGGUAAAUGUUUGGUGAUUUACCCACACAUAUACAUAUGUGUGGAUAAUACCCUUUCUUCACAAAGUUUUAUCCACACAUGUUGACAUUUGACUUUUGUGUGGGUAAAAAGAAACAGUGACACAUAAAUAUACUUUUAGCCACACAUCCAUGUGUGGCUAAAACCCUUAAUUUCUUGUAGUGAGAGAGAAAGAAGAGUGUCUGCGAUUUGGGGAUUUGGGGGAAGAGGAUUUGUUGGGUAUUUUCUUUUUGUUUUAAGGGUAUCUUAGUCCUUUCAACUCCAAAAAAAAUACAUUUUAUAUACUAUUAUUUUAUAGUGGAUAUAUUUUUAUUUUUGUCAUUCAAAUAGGGUAGAGACUACUAUUAACCCAAAUUACUACUAUAUGUUACAAAUCUAUCAACUGCGAGAAAUACUAUUUUACUUUUAGUGAAGAUAAUGUGAGUGACAAUAGUAAUUAAAUUCAAAAAAUAUACUCAUACUUUGGCAUAUUUUAUUUUAAACAGAUAACGAAAUCAAAUUAAAUAAAUGUGUGAAAAUACUGGGAAAAAAAACUAUGAUUCCAUGAAUAAAAUACAACAAAUUCUUCUCUUAAUUUACACAAUCUAUAUGCACUAAAAAAUCAAAAUAAAAUAAGCAUAUAAAAAAAGUCUACUUCUCUUAAAAAAAAUUCAAGCCCAAGCCCAAGCUCAAGCCCAAACCUUUUAACUCCCCAAAUAAAAACAGCUCUCUUUUCUCCUUUUUCUUCACACAAGUGUAUCAUGAUUUAUGCAAUUCUACUGGUUUUUUGUUUUGUUUGUCUUCGUUUGAUCUCCUCUCCUUCUCUCAUUCUUUCCAAAAGAGCAUUUGCUCCACCUUCUUCCGCCGCAGAAUCAGUUAUCGUCCUAUCGUGAUUUUUCUUUUCUAUAGAGAGAGAGAGAUCGGAAAUUCAAAAAAAUUUGCAACUUAUUUUUGAAGUAUCAACUACUUAUACCGUUAUAUACGAGCAUUCUAAAUAAUUAAACUUAAAAGAUGUUGGAUUGUGCAAUUUGCGCGUUUUUGUCGGCAACCAGUCUGUUGGAUUGUUAAUUUUUCUCGGUGACUUUGCGAUUUGCUUGAUGAGGACUUAUCUUAAUAUAUGAGCACGUCUUGGUUUUCAAAAUAUAUAUAAAAAAAAAAAAAGAAACUUAAAAGGUGUUAGUAAAAUACUAUCACGCAAUUCAAUUAAUUUAUAAAAUAAUUAUUGAAAUUGAAUAAUUAUCAUAUUAUAUAAUUUGAGUAGUUAAUAAAAAUUUCACAUUUUAAUAUAUACAUAUAUCACUAUAUAUAUAUAUAUAUAUAUAUAUAUAUAGUAAGGNAUAUAUAUAUAUAUAUAUAUAUAUAUAUAGGGGAUGUCAAUCGGGCCAACCCACUCGGUUUCGGGCCAGUCCAUUCGGUUUCGGGUUAUUUUCGGUUCGGGCUAGUCGGUUUUUUUAUUUUUCGGGCUAAAUUUUUUUGACCCUAAUCCUAACCCACUCAGUUUCGGGCUAGCCCGUUCGGGUCCGAAAGUUAUAAUUUUUUAUUAUGUUAAUUUUUUUUUUAAAUAAUCAUAUCUUGUAAUAAAAUAUGUCGUAUUUUUUAAAUCAAGACAUUUCGCCUUAUUUUAGAUACAAAAAUUAGUAUUUUUUUAACGUAAGUUUACAUAAUAUGUAACUUUAACUUCGUUACCGAUAUAAAUUGUAUACAGAUUUAAUAUAAAUGACUAUCUUUCUUUGACUUUUAUAUCAUAGAUGAUUGUUAUUAAUCGUUGGAAAAAAUCAAAACAUAUUCUACAAGCAUCAAAAUGUUAUUAUCGAGUUAAAAAGUAAAGUAUUAAAGUUUAAAAAUUAAUUAUUAAGAAAAUGUUCGGUUAAUCGGGCCAAUCCACUCGGUUUUCGGGCCAACCCUAUCGAGCUCGGGCUAUUUUCGGUUUGGGCCAUUCGGGCUUAAAAUUUUCAGCCAUAACCCACCUUUUUUAUCGGUCUAUUUGGGUCGACCCGUCGAUUUGGGGCUUUUUUGACAUCCCUAUAUAUGUAUAUAGGCCGUAAUAUUAGAAAAUGAUAAGAAAAAUAUAUACGUAAUCUUACACUCAAAUAAAUGUUUUUCAAACUUCUCAAUAGGUCUAAUAAUCUUAAGAGAAAAUAUUAAAAAGCUAAAAUUCAAGUGACUUUAUUAAUUAGUUCAAUAUUUUAAUUAUUUUCACAAAAGUAAAUCAAUAUAAUUUGCUUUAGUGAUACACAUCUUUAUAUGCCAAUGAGACCUUGCUCUAGUGGCAAAGCUAAGACACCCAAAGACUUUCCUUUAUAUGAGAGGUUUUUUAAUCUCGUCAGCGUGCGGUGAUGUUUUCUCACUUUAGGUGGUGUUGUAUUUUCGCCUUCGUGCGGUGUUGUAUAAUUUGUAUUGUUUGGUGUUGAGGUCCCUCUCGCCUGCUGUGGUGAUGUUUUCUCAUCAUUUGGGUGGUGCUGAGGUCUCGUCUGCGUGCAAAUUGCAUAAUUGAUUAUAUUUAGAUACCUAUUGUAAUUUCAAAAAAAAAAGAUGCACAUCUUUAUAUAAAAGUAGAAAUAUUAUGUUACGAAAAUUAUGAAUAGAUUUGUGGUAUAACAAAACUUUGCAUUGACGGUAAUAGUUGAAAAAAAUAUAUAUUUGCUUAAAUAAAAGUUAAAAAUAAUAAUAUUAUUUAUUUAUUUGUGCACCUUAAAAUAAAUAUUAGUGUAUUGAUUUUCAAUUAUAUAUGUGUUUGUGUGUUUAUUCAUUUAAGUGUUACACAAUGCCAACAUAUAUGGGUAAAGAAGUAAAGAUACAUAUACAACUAUAUCUCUUUGUAAAACUAUAUGUUAUUUUAUCAUUCAAUUUAACCAUUGAUUGUGUUCCUAUAAAAGAACAUAUGAAAAAGAAAAUAUAAUGAAUGUAUUUUUACAUGAUUAAAUUUAUCGAAAUAUUGUUAGAAAACGCCACACAUAAGAUGAAAUCACGAAAUACAUUCUACAAGUAUAUUAUUCUAAAAGUAUCAUUUAUAUAAAUAAUUAGUGAGUAGUUUUGAAGAGUUUAAAUUUAUUUAGAAUUGCCGAUGAGGCCUUGCUCUAGUGGCAAAGCUGAGCCACCCAAAGACUCUCUUUUGUGAGAGGUCUUGGGUCCAAUCCCGCUUGACGACGAUAUUUUCCCACUUUAAGUGGUGAUGUAUUCUUGUUGUAUUAAAAAAAAAUAGAAUUGUGAUUGAACUGAGAUUCUUAUAUGUUCAUGGUUAAGAUAGUAAUAAUAAUAUAAUGUUGCAUUAUUAAAUCUAAAAUAAAUUAAAUAAAGACUUAAUAAGCAAAUUAAAUUUUAUAAAACAAAACUCUUUUAUAAGUAUAGAUUAAGUUGUAGGGUUGAGCAUAAUCCGAAAUGAACAUCUUGUGACCCAUUUAUUUAUUUAAAAGACAACAAAAGCUACAUAUAUUUGGUAAUAAAGGUUCUCUGUCAAAUUGUUUUAUUCCGCUAGUCGACUACUGACAAUUUUAUUUUUUAUUCUUUUCUCGUCGUCAUCCCUAAAUUCCAUGCUCAUAGACCCUUUUCCGUCAACGGACCCUCAUCACAUUACAACCACAAUUCUCAUUCAAAUCCAAAUUUCCAUCUCAACCAAUCGAUAUGGCUUGAAUAAAAUCUCCCUUAUCCAUAUAUGUAGAUGAAAAUAAUUACUUGCGACACAAAAAGUAAAAUUAAAAAAUAACCUAUACAAAGAUUCAUUAAUUGAUACGCCCCUUUUCUAAGCUUAAGCACGUGUAUCAAGAAUCGGACUUCUUGAUUUGAGUUUGCCCUAUAAUAAGGAAGAAAUAGAACUCGUAAAUAUAUAGUAACGGAAAAUCUUGUAUCAUGUGUGAUGUUCGUCUCUCAGUUUACUUUUUGCCUUAUGGGGAUCUCAAUUAUCCAUUUUCUAAAUUUGAAUAUUCAUCUCUAGAAAUGUCUAGCUACAGCACAAACUUAGUACUCUUAACUUUUUAAGGGUAAGUUUAUUUUUGAGGAUUGUUGUAAUUUUUUUUUUAUUUUGAUUAAAUUUCAAAUCUUUUGAAAUAAUUGGUGGCCUAACUGUUAUAUAGAUUUAUAGCUCAUUUGUUAGGGAGCUUGUUUGUGUUUUUUUUUUUUUUCGAGGAGGAGGGAGCUUGUUUUAUUAUUCACCAGUAUUCAACUAAGGGAAAAUCUAACAAUCAAGGUCUGUGUAAGCUUCUCUCAAAAAAAAAAAAAGGUCUGUGUAAGCUAUUUCGUAAUCAAAGGAAGACCGUCAGCUUACAAAUCGACCAACUAAGCAACCAUUAUCAACUGAAGUGCUAUGUGAAAUGAAGAAUGUAUAAGUCAACUGACUACAAAUUUGUUGAUGGAAAAGUGCAUAAAGAAGAAGUCACUUUACUACAAGCUUUGUUGAUGUUAGCUUAGGUUAUUAUAAGUAAAGAAUAAUCAGCCAAUGAUAACCAAGCUGAAGAUUAAUGGUCUCUAACAAAAUGUGCAGAACAUAUUGUAAAAAAUGGUGUACUAUAUUGCAGCGAUUAAUGUACUAUAUUGCAAAUACUGAAAAUGAUCCACACAAGAAAACAGAACAAAAGAACAAGGGUUCAGAGGAGAAAUACUUCUUGAUGAGUU
RNAcentral lists this long non-coding RNA (6843 nucleotides) under Salvia miltiorrhiza (redroot sage). RNAcentral's name for it is "long non-coding RNA (SMIL_LNC005981)". Lineage: Eukaryota; Viridiplantae; Streptophyta; Magnoliopsida; Lamiales; Lamiaceae. The record is from RNAcentral.